Molecule: microRNA precursor, 67 nt
Filed under: Bombyx mori (domestic silkworm)
Lineage: Eukaryota; Metazoa; Arthropoda; Insecta; Lepidoptera; Bombycidae
Description: mir-2774 microRNA precursor family
Rfam family: mir-2774 microRNA precursor family
Source: Rfam by way of RNAcentral
AUAACAGUCAACCCGUCGGUCUACCGAGCAAUAUCACUCGCUCGGUGGAAGAUCCUCAAUCCGUCGC